AACCCCCUGCAGUGUGCGUGAUUGUAUGACAGACUUUGUCCUAACGCAUAAAAACAUAGGGGGGUCACGCUGAUACUGGUGUGCAGGUUCCCUCUCUUGUAAGGGAAAAGCCUAAAGGUAUUAUUGAUCCCCCGUCUUUUGGACCUUUGGUUCAAAGCCUAAAAGACAACACGGCAGUUGCGGGGGAACU
Molecule: non-coding RNA, 190 nt
Filed under: Desulfobacter hydrogenophilus
Lineage: Bacteria; Pseudomonadati; Thermodesulfobacteriota; Desulfobacteria; Desulfobacterales; Desulfobacteraceae
Description: 6S RNA
Rfam family: 6S / SsrS RNA
About the family: E. coli 6S RNA was the first non coding RNA to be sequenced, but its function was unknown until recently. It consists of 184 nucleotides that fold into an extended hairpin structure with a large single-stranded internal bulge. The 6S RNA specifically associates with RNA polymerase holoenzyme containing the sigma70 specificity factor.
Source: RNAcentral